Molecule: ribosomal RNA, 404 nt
Filed under: uncultured Phenylobacterium sp.
Lineage: Bacteria; Pseudomonadati; Pseudomonadota; Alphaproteobacteria; Caulobacterales; Caulobacteraceae
Description: bacterial SSU rRNA
Rfam family: Bacterial small subunit ribosomal RNA
Source: RNAcentral
UAGGGAAUCUUGCGCAAUGGGCGAAAGCCUGACGCAGCCAUGCCGCGUGAAUGAUGAAGGUCUUAGGAUUGUAAAAUUCUUUCACCGGGGACGAUAAUGACGGUACCCGGAGAAGAAGCUCCGGCUAACUUCGUGCCAGCAGCCGCGGUAAUACGAAGGGGGCUAGCGUUGCUCGGAAUUACUGGGCGUAAAGGGCGCGUAGGCGGACAGUUUAGUCAGAGGUGAAAGCCCAGGGCUCAACCUUGGAAUAGCCUUUGAUACUGACUGUCUUGAGUACGGGAGAGGUGUGUGGAACUCCGAGUGUAGAGGUGAAAUUCGUAGAUAUUCGGAAGAACACCAGUGGCGAAGGCGACACACUGGCCCGUUACUGACGCUGAGGCGCGAAAGCGUGGGGAGCAAACAGG